This 434-nucleotide ribosomal RNA is filed under the name uncultured archaeon. RNAcentral's name for it is "bacterial SSU rRNA". It matches the Rfam family "Archaeal small subunit ribosomal RNA", at positions 19 to 458 of the family's 1478-position model. The record is from RNAcentral.
GGACCUGACUGCUAUCGGAUUGAUACUAAGCCAUGCGAGUCAUUGUAGCAAUACAAGGCAUACGGCUCAGUAACGCGUAGUCAACCUAACCUAUGGACGGGAAUAACCUCGGGAAACUGAGAAUAAUGCCCGAUAGAACAUUAUGCCUGGAAUGGUUUAUGUUCCAAAUGAUUUAUCGCCAUAGGAUGGGACUGCGGCCUAUCAGUUUGUUGGUGAGGUAAUGGCCCACCAAGACUAUUACAGGUACGGGCUCUGAGAGGAGUAGCCCGGAGAUGGGUACUGAGACACGGACCCAGGCCCUAUGGGGCGCAGCAGGCGAGAAAACUUUGCAAUGUGCGAAAGCACGACAAGGUUAAUCCGAGUGGUUUCUGCUAAAGAAACCUUUUGUCAGUCCUAGAAACACUGAUGAAUAAGGGGUGGGCAAGUUCUGGUGU